GGUGGUUAAGCGCUUGGCUGCUAACCAGAAGGCUGGUGGUUCGAACCCACCAACUGCUC
Molecule: transfer RNA, 59 nt
Filed under: Loxodonta africana (African savanna elephant)
Lineage: Eukaryota; Metazoa; Chordata; Mammalia; Proboscidea; Elephantidae
Rfam family: tRNA
About the family: Transfer RNA (tRNA) molecules are approximately 80 nucleotides in length.
Source: Rfam by way of RNAcentral